This 252-nucleotide ribosomal RNA is filed under the name uncultured bacterium. RNAcentral's name for it is "partial 16S ribosomal RNA". It matches the Rfam family "Bacterial small subunit ribosomal RNA", at positions 524 to 776 of the family's 1533-position model. The record is from RNAcentral.
UACGUAGGGUGCAAGCGUUGUCCGGAAUUAUUGGGCGUAAAGAGCUCGUAGGCGGUUCGUCGCGUCGGCUGUGAAAAACCCGGAGCUCAACUCCGGGCCUGCAGUCGAUACGGGCGGACUUGAGUGUUGCAGGGGAGACUGGAAUUCCUGGUGUAGCGGUGAAAUGCGCAGAUAUCGGAGGAACACCGGUGGCGAAGGCGGUUCUCUGGGCCUUACCUGACGCUGAGGAGCGAAAGCGUGGGAGCAAACAGG